Molecule: long non-coding RNA, 350 nt
Organism: Photinus pyralis (common eastern firefly)
Lineage: Eukaryota; Metazoa; Arthropoda; Insecta; Coleoptera; Lampyridae
Exons: 2
Source: RefSeq, a predicted model, not a curated record
ACAGGAACUUGAUCCACCUCUAUGACGAGAUAUGUGCGAUAUUUAUAAAAUGGGAUGAAAUAAACUUGUAAAAUACCUGAAGUCAUUGGCAAGUUCAGGCAACGUUACUUAACGACAGAUACCUUCGCUGAUACAAAUAUUCUGCAUGAGCAUGAAUAAGCAUAAUGGAUUAUCGGAAGCCCCAUUUGAAGAUUAUGCUAGGUAUAACCUAUAAGUUUCAGCCUUUUACGAAGAGAAAUAUGUUUCGUACAACAUAUGUGGUAUUGUUGUCGAAAUUGUGCCACGAUACAAAACAAUAACAUAUUGUAAACUCGUUGACAAUAAAGGAUACAAAUUGUCGUAGCACUUAA